Molecule: ribosomal RNA, 253 nt
Filed under: uncultured bacterium
Lineage: Bacteria
Description: partial 16S ribosomal RNA
Rfam family: Bacterial small subunit ribosomal RNA
Source: RNAcentral
UACAGAGGUCUCAACCGUUGUUCGGAUUCAUUGGGCGUAAAGGGUGCGUAGGCGGUCGUGCAAGUCGGAUGUGAAAUCUCAGGGCUCAACCCUGAAACUGCCUUCGAUACUGCGCGGCUAGAGUGCUGGAGGGGAGACUGGAAUUUACGGUGUAGCAGUGAAAUGCGCAGAUAUCAGGAGGAACACCGGUGGCGAAGGCGGUUCUCUGGGCAUUACCUGACGCUGAGACGCGAAAGCGUGGGGAGCAAACAGG